RNAcentral lists this ribosomal RNA (407 nucleotides) under uncultured bacterium. RNAcentral describes it as "partial 16S ribosomal RNA". It matches the Rfam family "Bacterial small subunit ribosomal RNA", at positions 30 to 526 of the family's 1533-position model. The record is from RNAcentral.
AUUGAACGCUGGCGGCAGGCCUAACACAUGCAAGUCGAGCGGAGCGGCGGACGGGUGAGUACUGCCGAGGAAUCUGCCCGGUAGUGGGGGAUAAAGUACGGAAACGGGAGCUUAUACCGCAUACUUUCAGUUGAGAAUCGGGUGGCUUAGCUAGCUGGUGGGGUAAAGGCCUACCAAGGCGACGAUGCGUAGCUGCUCUGAGAGGAUGAUCGGUCACACUGGAACUGAGACACGGUCCAGACUCCUACGGGAGGCAGCAGUGGGGAAUAUUCGGCAAUGGGCGAAAGCCUGAUGCAGCCAUGCCGCGUGUGUGAAGAAGGUCUUCGGAUUGUAAAACACUUUAAGUUGGGAGGCGGUACCAACAGAAAAAGCACCGGCUAACUACGUGCCAGCAGCCGCGGUAAUAC